RNAcentral lists this ribosomal RNA (253 nucleotides) under uncultured bacterium. RNAcentral's name for it is "partial 16S ribosomal RNA". It matches the Rfam family "Bacterial small subunit ribosomal RNA", at positions 524 to 776 of the family's 1533-position model. The record is from RNAcentral.
UACGGAGGGUGCAAGCGUUAUACGGAAUCACUGGGUUUAAAGGGUGCGUAGGCUGCUGCAUAAGUCAGGGGUGAAAGUUUGUCGCUUAACGAUUGAAUUGCCUUUGAUACUGUUCGGCUUGAAAUUAGGUGAGGUUGGCGGAAUGUGACAUGUAGCGGUGAAAUGCGUAGAUAUGUCAUAGAACACCGAUUGCGAAGGCAGCUGGCUAACCUAAUUUUGACGCUGAGGCGCGAAAGCGUGGGUAGCAAACAGG